CUUAUUGUCGCAGACUUUUAACUUCUUCCAUAGGCAUAGGCAUAGUACUUCUAUGAUUUAUAUUAAAAAUACAUGAGAUUUCCACUCUUAGAAUGUUGACAAGCUUAUGAAGAUCUGCCAUAGUUGCAAAUCUAUUCUCCUUUCUAUUGAGAGUAGCAUCGAUAAUCUUUCUUUCCAUAGACAACUCAAACAAAUUCAAAAGUUAAAUUAGAGGAGGGUAAUCCACAACCUCUAAAAACAAAUCUGACAAAGAUGAGCAAUCCACUUUCUUUAUGGAAAAGAUCCGUGUUAGAAAAUAAGAUUUUUUAUUUAAAGGUGGGUAGUCUGCAACCUUCAAAAUACAACAAUA
Molecule: long non-coding RNA, 349 nt
Filed under: Physcomitrium patens
Lineage: Eukaryota; Viridiplantae; Streptophyta; Bryopsida; Funariales; Funariaceae
Description: long non-coding RNA (PPAT_LNC007851)
Source: RNAcentral